AGGCAGCAGCAAGGUAUUUUCGGCAAUGGGCGCAAGCUGACCGAGCAACGCCGCGUGCGGGAUGACGGCCUUCGGGUUGUAAACCGCUUUUCGGGGGGACGAUGAUGACGGUACCCCCGGAAUCAGCCCCGGCUAACUCUGUGCCAGCAGCCGCGGUAAGACAGAGGGGGCGAGCGUUGUCCGGAGUCACUGGGCGUAAAGCGCGCGCAGGCGGCAACCUCAGUGUCGUGUGAAAGCCCCCGGCUCAACCGGGGGAGGCCAUGGCAAACUGGGUCGCUCGAGCUGCGGAGAGGCCCCUCGAAUUGCCGGUGUAGCGGUGAAAUGCGUAGAGAUCGGCAGGAAGACCAAGGGGGAAGCCAGGGGGCUGGCCGCAGUGACGCUGAGGCGCGACAGUGGGGGAGCAAACCGGAUUAGAUACCCGGGUAGUCCACGCCGUAAACGAUGACCACUCGGCGUGCGGCGACUAUUGACGUCGCGGCGCGCCCUAGCUCACGCGAUAAGUGGUCGCCUGGGAACUACGAGCGCAAGCAUUAAAACUCAAAGAAAUUGACGGGGGCCCGCACAAGCAGCGGAGCGUGUGGUUUAAUUCGACGCAACCCGAAGAACCUUACCCAGACUGGACAUGACGGUGCAGACGGAGAAAACGCCGUCGCCUGCGAGGGUCCGUCACAGGUGCUGCAUGGCUGUCGUCAGCUCGUGUCGUGAGAUGUUGGGUUAAGUCCCGCAACGAGCGCAACCCUGCGGUUAGUUACCCGUGUCUAACCGGACUGCCUUCGGGGAGGAAGGCGGGGAUGACGUAAAGUCCGCAUGGCCCUUACGUCUGGGGCGACACACACGCUACAAUGGCGCCGACAAUGCGUCGCUCCCGCGCAAGCGGUUGCUAAUCGCCAAACGGCGCCCCAGUGCAGAUCGGGGGCUGCAACUCGCCCCCGUGAAGGCGGAGUUGCUAGUAAC
RNAcentral lists this ribosomal RNA (954 nucleotides) under uncultured bacterium. RNAcentral's name for it is "bacterial SSU rRNA". It matches the Rfam family "Bacterial small subunit ribosomal RNA", at positions 346 to 1342 of the family's 1533-position model. The record is from RNAcentral.